Molecule: transfer RNA, 73 nt
Filed under: Bifidobacterium sp.
Lineage: Bacteria; Bacillati; Actinomycetota; Actinomycetes; Bifidobacteriales; Bifidobacteriaceae
Also listed under: 3 other names
Description: tRNA-Ala
Rfam family: tRNA
About the family: Transfer RNA (tRNA) molecules are approximately 80 nucleotides in length. Their secondary structure includes four short double-helical elements and three loops (D, anti-codon, and T loops).
Source: RNAcentral
GGGGCUAUAGCGCAGUUGGUAGCGCAUCUGCUUUGCAAGCAGAGGGUCGCCGGUUCGAAUCCGGCUAGCUCCA